RNAcentral lists this ribosomal RNA (384 nucleotides) under uncultured Stephanoecidae. RNAcentral's name for it is "partial small subunit ribosomal RNA". It matches the Rfam family "Eukaryotic small subunit ribosomal RNA", at positions 30 to 432 of the family's 1831-position model. Lineage: Eukaryota; Choanoflagellata; Acanthoecida; Stephanoecidae. The record is from RNAcentral.
GCUUGUCUCAAAGAUUAAGCCAUGCAUGUCUAAGUAUAAGCACUUAUACCGUGAAACUGCGAAUGGCUCAUUACAUCAGUUAUAGUUUAUUUGAUAGUCCCCACUACUUGGAUAACCGUAGUAAUUCUAGAGCUAAUACAUGCACAAAAUCCCGACUUACGAAGGGAUGUAUUUAUUAGAUACAAACCAACAUCGUGGUGAUUCAUAAUAACUUUGCGAAUCGCAUGGCCUUGUGCCGGCGAUGAAUCAUUCAAAUUUCUGCCCUAUCAACUUUCGAUGGUAAGGUAUUGGCUUACCAUGGUUGCAACGGGUAACGGAGAAUUAGGGUUCGAUUCCGGAGAGGGCGCCUGAGAAAUGGCGACCACAUCCAAGGAAGGCAGCAGG